UUUUUUUUAUUCAAAAAGUUUUAUUUUAGCUUGGAUAAUAAGUAUAUAAUUUAUUUACAUGUAAAUUUGAGUAUGGAGAAAAUAGUUUUUGAUAAAUUAUUAAUAAAGAAAAUUCGCAGUAUAUAGUUUUAUUAAUUAAAGAAAUUUAGAUUUGGAAAUUUAUAUUUAUAUUAACAAAAUUUGUGCCAGCAGUUGCGGUUAUACAAAUAAUAUGAUUUAUUAUUAUUAAUUAAUAAUUAAUUGAUAUUAUUAUAAAUUAAAUUUAUAUUUUAUUAAGUGAAAUUUUAAAUUGUAGAAAAUUUUAAGAGAAAGUUAUGAAGUUAUUAAAUUUUAAAGAAAACUAGGAUUAGAUACCCUAUUAUGAAAGUGUAAAUUAAAAAUUAUUUUAUUAUUAAUAGUUAUAAGCUUUAAAGUUAAAAAAUUUGGCGGUAUUUUAAUCUAUUCAGAGGAACCUGUUCUAUAAUCGAUAAUCCACGUUUAAAGUUACUUAUUUUAAUAAUUUGUAUAUCGUUGUAGUUGAAUAUUUUAACAGAAGUUCAAUAUUCAUAAUAUUAAUUAAGAAAGUAAAUCAGAUCAAGGUGCAGUUUAUAUAUAAGAAAGAAAUGGGUUACAAAAAAGUUAUUUAUGGAUUAAUAUUUGAAAAUUAUUAUGAAAGGGGAUUUGAUAGUAAUUAAAUUUAUUUAAAUUUAAUGAUUAAGUUCUAAAAUAUGCACAUAUCGCCCGUCGCUCUCAUUUAAGUUGAGAUAAGUCGUAACAAAGUAAGUGUACUGGAAAGUGUACCUAGAAAG
Molecule: non-coding RNA, 788 nt
Filed under: Staphylinidae sp. BMNH 1274669
Lineage: Eukaryota; Metazoa; Arthropoda; Insecta; Coleoptera; Staphylinidae
Source: RNAcentral